Molecule: ribosomal RNA, 484 nt
Filed under: uncultured bacterium
Lineage: Bacteria
Description: bacterial SSU rRNA
Rfam family: Bacterial small subunit ribosomal RNA
Source: RNAcentral
GAUGAACGCUAGCGGGAGGCUUAAUACGUGCAAGUCGAGGGGUAACAUGAGAGCUUGCUCUUGAUGACGACCGGCGCACGGGUGAGUAACGCGUACACAACCUACCUCUAAGUGGGGAAUAGCCUUUGGAAACGAAGAGUAAUACCCCAUAGCAUUAUUUCUUUUUAUGAUGAAAUAAUUAAAGCUCCGGCGCUUAGAGAUGGGUGUGCGUCCCAUUAGCUUGUUGGUAAGGUAACGGCUUACCAAGGCGACGAUGGGUAGGGGGCGUGAGAGCGUGACCCCCCANACGGGUACUGAGACACGGACCCGACUCCUACGGGAGGCAGCAGUAAGGAAUAUUGGACAAUGGGCGAAAGCCUGAUCCAGCCAUCCCGCGUGCAGGAUGACGGCCCUAUGGGUUGUAAACUGCUUUUAGAUAGGAAGAAACCCCCAUUCGUGAGUGGGGCUGACGGUACUAUCAGAAUAAGCACCGGCUAACUCCGUG